Molecule: ribosomal RNA, 427 nt
Filed under: uncultured bacterium
Lineage: Bacteria
Description: bacterial SSU rRNA
Rfam family: Bacterial small subunit ribosomal RNA
Source: RNAcentral
UAGGGAAUAUUGGACAAUGGGGGCAACCCUGAUCCAGCCAUGCCGCGUGAGUGAAGAAGGCCCUCGGGUUGUAAAGCUCUUUUGUCCGGAAAGAAAAGCAUUCGGUGAAUACCCGGAUGUUCUGACGGUACCGGAAGAAUAAGCACCGGCUAACUUCGUGCCAGCAGCCGCGGUAAUACGAAGGGUGCAAGCGUUACUCGGAAUUACUGGGCGUAAAGCGUGCGUAGGUGGUUGUUUAAGUCUGAUGUGGAAGCCCUGGGCUCAACCUGGGAAUGGCAUUGGAAACUGGGCAGCUAGAGUGCGGUAGAGGGUAGUGGAAUUCCCGGUGUAGCAGUGAAAUGCGUAGAGAUCGGGAGGAACAUCUGUGGCGAAGGCGACUGCCUGGACCAGCACUGACACUGAGGCACGAAAGCGUGGGGAGCAAACA